Molecule: long non-coding RNA, 747 nt
Organism: Pipra filicauda (Wire-tailed manakin)
Lineage: Eukaryota; Metazoa; Chordata; Aves; Passeriformes; Pipridae
Exons: 3
Source: RefSeq, a predicted model, not a curated record
GGUUAGGAAUUACGAAAUUACAAGCCUUGAUCCCGAGUGUACAAGCCAGAAGGUUGCAUAGGCUGGCACAAUGUUCUGAUGACACCUUAAGGGCGGUUUUGCUGGAGGAAAACAUCACGCAGAUAUAUGAGAAGCUGUGGAUAUCAGCUGGAGGAGAUAAAGAUAAAAUACCGAAUAUCUAUCUGGGCACCCAAACCAACGGUGGAAACAGUGAUGCUGGGUGAAGAAGAGACAUCAGAAUGGGAGAGUAACAUACCAAAGAACAACUACCCGCGGCCUUGUAACUGGAAGAAAAGGGAAUUCCAGAAAUGGACUCAAUUACUCAAUUCUGGGACUUUCCAGCAGCUCCCUGGAGUCAGAGCUGGAGCGGUGUCUGCAGGAGGAGAGGGAGUGGUGCCAGGAACAGGAUGAGACCAGAGCUCGGGAGCGAGCACUGUUGGAAACCUGGAAAACGCAGAGGCUCACUGGAGGCGGGUCGAGGACCAUCUCCGCCUGCAGUGGGACCAGAUGGUUGCUCUCCAGGAGGUGCAAAGAUGGCAAAAAUCCCUCCGGGAUCAGCAGGAUGAACAGAUCCACCAUCUGGAGAUGGAGUGACGCCACCUCCACAAUGACACCCAGGAGCCCAAAGACAACAUCCCCGUGUUCUGCCGCGUGGGGUCCGUGCUGCCGGAGGAGUCGGAGCGGCAGCGGGGGCUGCACCACCUGCACUUCUCCCCACGGAACUCCACAACACUCAUUGUCACCCAG